UAAAGCCUUUAAUCUUGAGCAUUUAAAUGUGUGCAAAUAUAAUGCAAAUAUGAUAUGGACCUCUGUCUACACAGAGGAACAGCAGAGGAACACAACUGAAGACCCUUUUAUUUGGACGAGCUCUUAAUUGACUGAAUAUCCUUGACUUGCCAUUUUUUAAAUUUGCCUUGAGAAGAUGUCCAAGCAAAUCUACCCAAGAAGCCUGCUGAAGAUUUCCUGAUAAAAUGUGGCCACACAGGAUCACUAAAUCCACAUCCAUAAUCCUUUUCCUACUUUUUAUCAUGAUAAACAAGAAUUUAUCUGCUCCUGUGCUGAACAGCAGGUCAGACGAACACAUAGCAGAGCUCCAGCUGGUGUUUGACCCCGACCUCUUCAGACAGCAUGUUAGUCUUACUGAUGAUUACGGCGAAAAGCCCUUCCCUCCUCCUCUGCCUCCUGACACCGGAUCUCCUUAUCAGCCCAACCUGGAGGAGGAAUACUACUAACAGAAACGUCAGAUCAAGUCGAUUCAUCCAGUAAAGAGGAUUAGAUUACAGUACAAAAAAAAAGGCUAUAUACAUUCUGUUGCAUCUCUCCAUGUAUUUUGAGGACAAUAUUAAAAUU
Molecule: long non-coding RNA, 603 nt
Organism: Cololabis saira (Pacific saury)
Lineage: Eukaryota; Metazoa; Chordata; Actinopteri; Beloniformes; Belonidae
Exons: 4
Source: RefSeq, a predicted model, not a curated record